Molecule: ribosomal RNA, 546 nt
Filed under: uncultured archaeon
Lineage: Archaea
Description: bacterial SSU rRNA
Rfam family: Archaeal small subunit ribosomal RNA
Source: RNAcentral
UGCAGCAGGCGCGAAUACUCCGCAAUGCGGGCAACCGCGACGGGGCUACCCCGAGUGCCGGGCGAAGAGCCCGGCUUUUGCCCGGUCUAAAAAGCCGGGAGAAUAAGCGGGGGGCAAGUCUGGUGUCAGCCGCCGCGGUAAUACCAGCUCCGCGAGUGGUCGGGGUGUUUACUGGGCUUAAAGCGCCCGUAGCCGGCCCGGCAAGUCGCUCCUGAAAUCCCCGGGCUCAACCCGGGGGCGGGGGGCGAUACUGCCGGGCUAGGGGGCGGGAGAGGCCGCCGGUACUCCGGGGGUAGGGGCGAAAUCCGUUAAUCCCCGGAGGACCACCAGUGGCGAAAGCGGGCGGCCAGAACGCGCCCGACGGUGAGGGGCGAAAGCCGGGGGAGCAAAGGGGAUUAGAGACCCCUGUAGUCCCGGCUGUAAACGAUGCGGGCUAGGUGUUGGCUGAGCUUCGUGCUCAGCCAGUGCCGCAGGGAAGCCGUUAAGCCCGCCGCCUGGGGAGUACGGCCGCAAGGCUGAAACUUAAAGGAAUUGGCGGGGGAGCAC